AGCAGCCGCGGUAAUUCCAGCUCCAAUAGCGUAUAUUAAAGUUGUUGCAGUUAAAAGCUCGUAGUUGAAUUUCGGGAUCAAUUAGUCGGUCGUGCCUCUGGUACGUACUGGUUUUAUUGGUUCCUCCCUUCUGACGAAACAUGAUGUCAUUAAUUUGGUGUCGUGGAGAAUCAGGACUGUUACCUUGAAAAAUUGAGUGUUUAUAGCAGGCUAACGCUUGAAUACAUUAGCAUGGAAUAAUGAAAUAGGACGUUCGACCCUAUUUUGUUGGUUUCUAGGAUCGACGUAAUGAUUAAUAGGGAUAGUUGGGGGCAUUAGUAUUCAAUUGUCAGAGGUGAAAUUCUUGGAUUUAUUGAAGACUAACUACUGCGAAAGCAUUUGCCAAGGAU
Molecule: unclassified non-coding RNA, 389 nt
Filed under: uncultured Glomus
Lineage: Eukaryota; Fungi; Glomeromycota; Glomeromycetes; Glomerales; Glomeraceae
Description: SSU rRNA
Rfam family: Eukaryotic small subunit ribosomal RNA
Source: RNAcentral